Molecule: long non-coding RNA, 102 nt
Organism: Sinocyclocheilus rhinocerous
Lineage: Eukaryota; Metazoa; Chordata; Actinopteri; Cypriniformes; Cyprinidae
Exons: 3
Source: RefSeq, a predicted model, not a curated record
CUUUGGAGACGUGCUAAAAUCGUGUUUGGUCUCCUACUGUAUCGCGUACCUUGUCAGUGUCGUGUGCUUUGCUUGGCCAUUUGUUGUGAUAAACAGGAAAGU